AAGUUUAGAAGAAAUAUUCCUGACUUUGUAAAAGCAGGAGCACCUAAGAAGGAGAAGUAACCCCAUCUGAAUGUUAACUGUGCUGCUGCAAAUCUGUAAGACAUCCUGAAGCUAGGAAGAUUGCAUUGAAGAGUGUUUUUCCAGAAAUGAGCAACCAA
This is a long non-coding RNA of Empidonax traillii (willow flycatcher), 158 nucleotides long. RefSeq lists it as uncharacterized. The transcript has 2 exons. The record is from RefSeq and is a predicted model, not a curated record. NCBI's taxonomy places the organism in Eukaryota, Metazoa, Chordata, Aves, Passeriformes, Tyrannidae.